CUGCAUCCCCUGACAGAUCUUGAACAAUCUGAUGUUGUCCUUUUGGUUUGCACUAGGAUGCGAAAGAAAAAAAAAAUCCCCGUGCUUUCUGCCUUUGUGGCGGCCCAGAUUGAACAGAGGAAUACAUCU
Small nucleolar RNA from Rhinolophus ferrumequinum (greater horseshoe bat), 129 nucleotides. Lineage: Eukaryota; Metazoa; Chordata; Mammalia; Chiroptera; Rhinolophidae. The record is from Ensembl.